CAUGUCUUUUUGAUUAUUAUUUAAAGUCUGACCUGCCCUAUGAUUCGUUAAAUGGCUGCGGUACUUUGACCGUGCAAAGGUAGCAUAAUAAUUAGUUUCUUAAUUGGGAACUGGUAUGAAUGGUUGGACGAGAAAAAUACUGUCUCAAUUUAAUUUUAAUUAGAAAUUUAUUUUUAAGUAAAAAAGCUUAAAUAUAUUUAAAAGACGAGAAGACCCUAUAGAAUUUUAUAUUUAUUAUAAUUUUUAAAAGUUAAAGAAUUUUAUAUUUAAUAAUUAUAAUAAAUAUUUGGUUGGGGCAAUCGAGAAAUUAAAUUAAUUUUUUCUUUAUUUUUAACAUUAAUUUAUGAAUAAUUGAUCCAUAUUAAUUAUGAUUAUAAGAUUAAAUUACCUUAGGGAUAACAGCGUAAUUUUUUUUUAGAGUUCUUAUCGAAAAAAAAGUUUGCGACC
Molecule: ribosomal RNA, 447 nt
Filed under: Canthidium thalassinum
Lineage: Eukaryota; Metazoa; Arthropoda; Insecta; Coleoptera; Scarabaeidae
Description: partial 16S ribosomal RNA
Source: RNAcentral